This 429-nucleotide ribosomal RNA is filed under the name Acidobacteriota bacterium. Its description in RNAcentral is "Acidobacteria bacterium partial 16S ribosomal RNA". It matches the Rfam family "Bacterial small subunit ribosomal RNA", at positions 355 to 776 of the family's 1533-position model. The record is from RNAcentral. Lineage: Bacteria; Pseudomonadati; Acidobacteriota.
UGGGGAAUUUUGGACAAUGGGGGAAACCCUGAUCCAGCCAUCCCGCGUGUGCGAUGAAGGCCCUCGGGUUGUAAAGCACUUUUGGCAGGAAAGAAACGUCAUGGGUUAAUACCCCGUGCAACUGACGGUACCUGCAGAAUAAGCACCGGCUAACUACGUGCCAGCAGCCGCGGUAAUACGUAGGGUGCAAGCGUUAAUCGGAAUUACUGGGCGUAAAGCGUGCGCAGGCGGUUCGGAAAGAAAGAUGUGAAAUCCCAGAGCUCAACUUUGGAACUGCAUUUUUAACUACCGGGCUAGAGUGUGUCAGAGGGAGGUGGAAUUCCGCGUGUAGCAGUGAAAUGCGUAGAUAUGCGGAGGAACACCGAUGGCGAAGGCAGCCUCCUGGGAUAACACUGACGCUCAUGCACGAAAGCGUGGGGAGCAAACAGG